RNAcentral lists this ribosomal RNA (455 nucleotides) under uncultured organism. RNAcentral's name for it is "bacterial SSU rRNA". It matches the Rfam family "Bacterial small subunit ribosomal RNA", at positions 346 to 794 of the family's 1533-position model. The record is from RNAcentral.
GUGCAGCAGGCGAGAAUUUUUCUCAAUGGGGGCAACCCUGAAGGAGCGACGCCGCGUGGAGGAUGAAGGCUUUCGGGUUGUAAACUCCUGUCAUUUGAGAACAAGUGCCAACAAGUAACUGCUGUUGGCUUGAUAGUAUCAGAAGAGGAAGGGACGGCUAACUCUGUGCCAGCAGCCGCGGUAAUACAGAGGUCCCAAGCGUUGUUCGGAUUCAUUGGGCGUAAAGGGUGCGUAGGUGGCGUGGUAAGUCGGGUGUGAAAUUUCGGAGCUUAACUCCGAAACUGCAUUCGAUACUGCCGUGCUUGAGGACUGGAGAGGAGACUGGAAUUUACGGUGUAGCAGUGAAAUGCGUAGAGAUCGUAAGGGAGACCAGUGGCGAAGGCGGGUCCCUGGACAGUUCCUGACACUGAGGCACGAAGGCCAGGGGAGCAAACGGGAUUAGAUACCCGCGUAGU